GGCUUUGCACAGUGGCAGUAUGGUAGCCAAUGAGGUUUAUCCGAGGCGCGAUUAUUGCUAAUUGAAAACAAAAAUAGACCCACAAAUAAAAGUCAGCUGAUUUUUGAAAAGGUGUCAAUUCA
The sequence is a small nuclear RNA, 122 nucleotides long. Its record names the gene U4. It matches the Rfam family "U4 spliceosomal RNA". From Rfam's summary of the family: U4 small nuclear RNA (U4 snRNA) is a component of the major U2-dependent spliceosome. The structure of U4 snRNA from yeast and human has been reported. The record is from Ensembl.